RNAcentral lists this unclassified non-coding RNA (330 nucleotides) under soil metagenome. RNAcentral describes it as "partial contains 5.8S ribosomal RNA, internal transcribed spacer 2, and large subunit ribosomal RNA". The stretch from base 1 to 120 matches the Rfam family "5.8S ribosomal RNA", at positions 35 to 154 of the family's 154-position model. The record is from RNAcentral.
GAUGAAGAACGUAGCGAAAUGCGAUAAGUAAUGUGAAUUGCAGAAUUCAGUGAAUCAUCGAAUCUUUGAACGCACAUUGCGCCCUCUUGUAUUCCGGGGGGCAUGCCUGUUCGAGCGUCAUUACAACCCUCAAGCUUUGCUUGGUAUUGGACAUUGCCAGUUUCUGGCAGGUCUUAAAAUCAGUGGCGGUGCCAUUUGGCUUCAAGCGUAGUAAUUCUUCUCGCUUUGGAGAUCCAAGUGGUUACUUGCCAAUAACCCCCAAUUUUUUCAGGUUGACCUCGGAUCAGGUAGGGAUACCCGCUGAACUUAAGCAUAUCAAUAAGCGGAGGA